GCUCAACGGAUAAAAGGUACUCCGGGGAUAACAGGCUGAUACCGCCCAAGAGUUCAUAUCGACGGCGGUGUUUGGCACCUCGAUGUCGGCUCAUCACAUCCUGGGGCUGAAGUAGGUCCCAAGGGUAUGGCUGUUCGCCAUUUAAAGUGGUACGCGAGCUGGGUUUAGAACGUCGUGAGACAGUUCGGUCCCUAUCUGCCGUGGGCGCUGGAGAACUGAGGGGGGCUGCUCCUAGUACGAGAGGACCGGAGUGGACGCAUCACUGGUGUUCGGGUUGUCAUGCCAAUGGCACUGCCCGGUAGCUAAAUGCGGAAGAGAUAAGUGCUGAAAGCAUCUAAGCACGAAACUUGCCCCGAGAUGAGUUCUCCCUGACUCCUUGAGAGUCCUGAAGGAACGUUGAAGACGACGACGUUGAUAGGCCGGGUGUGUAAGCGCAGCGAUGCGUUGAGCUAACCGGUACUAAUGAACCGUGAGGCUUAACCUUACAACGC
Molecule: ribosomal RNA, 491 nt
Filed under: Escherichia coli
Lineage: Bacteria; Pseudomonadati; Pseudomonadota; Gammaproteobacteria; Enterobacterales; Enterobacteriaceae
Description: partial 23S ribosomal RNA
Rfam family: Bacterial large subunit ribosomal RNA
Source: RNAcentral